GUCCUUGCAUUCCAACUGCUUCUUAUUAAUCUAAAUGCUGUUGCUUAGCUUUGCAAAGGAAGGCAGGGGAGACUGUAAACUGAUGAUGUGUUGCCAGAAGAGCGAGAAGAACACAAAACCUAUCUUCUGAGAAUAAAGCACUACCUAUCAAAGAUAAUUGAUGAAUGGAGAACAUGAAGAGAAAUAGGAGGAGGAUCUUCCCUCUGGAAGGAUCUCUCAAGCUGCAGAAUCAGAAGUAAAACAUUCCAUUCUAUUAUCUAAAACAUUAUUGUUCUCACCAACUGACAGCUACAAGUUUUCUUCUAAAACUCUCCCUCAGUUGGCAGAAGAUGCCCAGUCUUUACUUCAAAUGCUCUGUCAGCAAGUGGAGGCUUGAAAGAAUGAAAUUUGAGAAAUGAAAUGUAAUAACUCCAAUGUGAGUGUAUCAUCUCACCAGUGGCCUGCUAAAAGCUGUGGAACAGAUGCUGUGUCAGAUCGUACUCAGAGAGUGGAAAAUCUUCAUCAAGCUCCCUUAACAGGUCCCUUGCAGCCCGUCCUGGCAGCCUGCAGUAACAAAGCAAGGUGGCACAGCGAUGGAAAAAGGACUCGUUACUGGACAUUCAAAAUACAGAGAAGCUCCUGUUGUACU
Non-coding RNA from Coturnix japonica (Japanese quail), 628 nucleotides. NCBI's taxonomy places the organism in Eukaryota, Metazoa, Chordata, Aves, Galliformes, Phasianidae. The record is from RefSeq and is a predicted model, not a curated record.